RNAcentral lists this ribosomal RNA (407 nucleotides) under uncultured bacterium. RNAcentral describes it as "partial 16S ribosomal RNA". It matches the Rfam family "Bacterial small subunit ribosomal RNA", at positions 30 to 526 of the family's 1533-position model. The record is from RNAcentral.
AUUGAACGCUGGCGGCAGGCCUAACACAUGCAAGUCGAGCGGAGCGGCGGACGGGCGAGUAAUGCAUAGGAAUAUGCUUGGUAGCGGGGGAUAACGUACGGAAACGGGCGCCCAUACCGCAACCUAUCAGAUGAGCCUCGGUCGGAUUAGCUAGUUGGUGGGGUAAAGUCCCAGCAAGGCGACGAUGCGUACCUGGUCUGAGAGGAUGAUCAGUCACACUGGAACUGAGAGACGGUCCAGACGCCUACGGGAGGCAGCAGUGGGGAAUAUUGGACAAUGGGCGCAAGCCUGACCCAGCCAUGCCGCGUGUGUGAAGAAGGUCUUCGGAUUGUAAAGCACUUUCAGUUGGGAGGCGUUACCAGCAGAUGAAGCACCGGCUAACUCCGUGCCAGCCGCCGCGGUAAUAC